Molecule: ribosomal RNA, 530 nt
Filed under: uncultured bacterium
Lineage: Bacteria
Description: bacterial SSU rRNA
Rfam family: Bacterial small subunit ribosomal RNA
Source: RNAcentral
UGGGGAAUAUUGCACAAUGGGCGGAAGCCUGAUGCAGCGACGCCGCGUGGGGGAUGAAGGCCUUCGGGUUGUAAACCCCUUUCGACAGGGACGAAGCUUUUGUGACGGUACCUGUAUAAGAAGCACCGGCUAACUACGUGCCAGCAGCCGCGGUAAUACGUAGGGUGCGAGCGUUGUCCGGAAUUACUGGGCGUAAAGAGCUCGUAGGUGGUUUGUCGCGUCGUCUGUGAAAUUCCGGGGCUUAACUCCGGGCGUGCAGGCGAUACGGGCUGACUUGAGUGCUGUAGGGGAGACUGGAAUUCCUGGUGUAGCGGUGAAAUGCGCAGAUACCAGGAGGAACACCGAUGGCGAAGGCAGGUCUCUGGGCAGUAACUGACGCUGAGGAGCGAAAGCAUGGGUAGCGAACAGGAUUAGAUACCCUGGUAGUCCAUGCCGUAAACGGUGGGCGCUAGGUGUAGGGGGCUUCCACGUCUUCUGUGCCGUAGCUAACGCAUUAAGCGCCCCGCCUGGGGAGUACGGCCGCAAGGCUA